Molecule: ribosomal RNA, 680 nt
Filed under: Thalassobius sp. MED613
Lineage: Bacteria; Pseudomonadati; Pseudomonadota; Alphaproteobacteria; Rhodobacterales; Roseobacteraceae
Description: bacterial SSU rRNA
Rfam family: Bacterial small subunit ribosomal RNA
Source: RNAcentral
CCCACUGGAAACGGUGAGUAAUACCUUAUACGCCCUUCGGGGGAAAGAUUUAUCGGAUUUGGAUUAGCCCGCGUUAGAUUAGAUAGUUGGUGGGGUAAUGGCCUACCAAGUCUACGAUCUAUAGCUGGUUUUAGAGGAUGAUCAGCAACACUGGGACUGAGACACGGCCCAGACUCCUACGGGAGGCAGCAGUGGGGAAUCUUGGACAAUGGGCGCAAGCCUGAUCCAGCCAUGCCGCGUGAGUGAUGAAGGCCUUAGGGUCGUAAAGCUCUUUCGCCAGGGAUGAUAAUGACAGUACCUGGUAAAGAAACCCCGGCUAACUCCGUGCCAGCAGCCGCGGUAAUACGGAGGGGGUUAGCGUUGUUCGGAAUUACUGGGCGUAAAGCGCGCGUAGGCGGGUUGUUAAGUUAGAGGUGAAAUCCCGGGGCUCAACCCCGGAACUGCCUUUAAUACUGGCAACCUAGAGUUCGAGAGAGGUGAGUGGAAUUCCGAGUGUAGAGGUGAAAUUCGUAGAUAUUCGGAGGAACACCAGUGGCGAAGGCGGCUCACUGGCUCGAUACUGACGCUGAGGUGCGAAAGUGUGGGGAGCAAACAGGAUUAGAUACCCUGGUAGUCCACACCGUAAACGAUGAAUGCCAGUCGUCGGGUAGCAUGCUAUUCGGUGACACACCUAACGGAUU